RNAcentral lists this long non-coding RNA (358 nucleotides) under Anser brachyrhynchus (Pink-footed goose). Its description in RNAcentral is "lncRNA (ENSABRG00000009809.1)". Lineage: Eukaryota; Metazoa; Chordata; Aves; Anseriformes; Anatidae. The record is from RNAcentral.
UGGGCAGCAAGUGUAAAUGAAACUACAGCAGCUCAGUGCUGUGGGAUUUUAGAGCACGUUUGUCACUGACCAGGCUUUUUGAGAUCGUUAUCAUUUCUCUGAAGAGAAUACUCUUUGGUGGAACAUUUCUUGCAAUGGAAUAUAUUUACCAUGCAAGUAUAACAAGGUGGUAUAAGUUCCACCAGGAGCUUUCUGUCUGCCAAAGAGGGUUAAUUACUACUUUGUGAAACUUGGUACUGAGUCUCGGAGUUCUAGUAAUAUGAACCAAGGUAAUGAUCUUUUGUGUUUACAACUAAUCACUAAAUUUUCUUUCCAUUCCUGAGACCCCAGGCAAAUAAAACACUGAUCCAACAGUACA